GUCCUUCAGCCACAACCAAUCAGAGAGCAGCACUACUGAAAUAGAACUCCCAGGAGGAGCAGCGUGUCACACAUGUGAUGUCAUAACCAUUGUCCACCAGAGAGCAGCACUGAGCAGAAAUAACACGGCUCCUGCUCAUUCUUCAUCAGUGAGGGGCUGAUGUUGGACACUGUAGGGACCCUGGAAUAUAGGUGUAUACACAUGACUGAUGCAGUAUUUCCAGGAUGUGGAGUCGCAUUUCCGGACUUACAGUAAGAUGACUGUAUUUCCAGGAUGUGGAGUCGCAUUUCCGGACUUACAGCAAGAAGUUGGAUGAAGGCCCAGCCCCAGGAAUCACGCACAUACACAGACACAUUUGCCCAAAUUCUAGAGGUAA
Molecule: long non-coding RNA, 376 nt
Organism: Hyla sarda
Lineage: Eukaryota; Metazoa; Chordata; Amphibia; Anura; Hylidae
Exons: 4
Source: RefSeq, a predicted model, not a curated record